GAACGCUGGCGGCGUGCUUAACACAUGCAAGUCGAGCGAAGUAUUCAAGAUAGAUUUCUUCGGAUUGAAGUCUUGAAUAUCUUAGCGGCGAACGGGUGAGUAACGCGUGAGAAACCUGCCUUUCACAAAGGGAUAGCCUCGGGAAACUGGGAUUAAUACCUUAUGAUACUUACAUUUCACAUGAGAAGUAAGUUAAAGCGCAAAGCGGUGAAAGAUGGUCUCGCGUCCCAUUAGUUAGUUGGUGAGGUAACGGCUCACCAAGACCGCGAUGGGUAGCCGGCCUGAGAGGGUGAACGGCCACACUGGAACUGAGACACGGUCCAGACUCCUACGGGAGGCAGCAGUGGGGAAUAUUGCACAAUGGAGGAAACUCUGAUGCAGCGACGCCGCGUGAGUGAAGAAGGCCUUCGGGUCGUAAAACUUUGUCCUAGGGGACGAUAAUGACGGUACCCUAGGAGGAAGCCCCGGCUAACUACGUG
RNAcentral lists this ribosomal RNA (479 nucleotides) under uncultured bacterium. RNAcentral describes it as "bacterial SSU rRNA". It matches the Rfam family "Bacterial small subunit ribosomal RNA", at positions 31 to 507 of the family's 1533-position model. The record is from RNAcentral.